Long non-coding RNA from Pseudophryne corroboree (corroboree frog), 434 nucleotides. RefSeq lists it as uncharacterized. The transcript has 3 exons. Lineage: Eukaryota; Metazoa; Chordata; Amphibia; Anura; Myobatrachidae. The record is from RefSeq and is a predicted model, not a curated record.
CCACUAGGCAGCUUUAGGCAGCUGCCUAUGGGCGGCGACCACUGGAGGGCGGCACCGCACAGUGAAUGAAAGAGAGAACGCUUCAGCUCAGCUAAACUCCUCCGUGCUGCCACAGACAGUGAAGUGAACAUUCCAGGAGCCAGAACAUUGGACACAGGAGGCCGGGGACAUUGGAACUGUCGCUGCUGCUACUACUACUUCAGGAGCUGAUGGAGCUCGAGGAGGAGCGCGGGGGCGGCACCUUCACCCAGGCAGGAAAGGGCUUUCCUAACCGUCGGCUGAUCUGUCCCCCUCACAGCCAGCUCUGACCAGCGGCGGCAACAAGGAGUCCAAGGCCGGAAAAACCACUGCCCCAUGCACAAGUGGGUCUUCAAGGGCGACAUCCCUUAUCUGUAGCCACAGCAUCAGUCUGAACAGAAAGGCAACCACGGUCA